This 1750-nucleotide long non-coding RNA is filed under the name Homo sapiens (human). Its description in RNAcentral is "non-protein coding lnc-CCDC125-6:25". The record is from RNAcentral. Lineage: Eukaryota; Metazoa; Chordata; Mammalia; Primates; Hominidae.
AUUAUUGGAAUGCCUCUGCGCACAGCACAUGCCUGCUUCCCAGAUUUCACAGGCCCCUGCUCAGGGAUCUGCAAACCACAUUGCUCAGCCCGAGAUUCCACGCGGGUGAUCACGAGGUGGUUUGCUCUAAGCUGGAACUUUUCUAAGAAAGUAGGUUUCUUUAAGCCAGGCAUUCUGCAUUCUUCAAAAAGCGUCAACCACAUGUCUCCAGCGAGCGCCUAGCAAUGUGCCUGCCUUAAUGGAUGAGGAAACUGAGGCACAAAAAGGUGAAGUCCUGAGCUCACAGUCAUGCAACCAGCAGGUGGUGAAACACACCUCCAAGCUGCCUGCCUCCUAAGCAUCAAGCUUUGUGGCCCAGGAUCUACUUCAUGCUCCAAAUAUUCAUGGACCUUCCCAGGACCUCAACAAAACAAAACCAUGAAGAAAAACCUUGACAUGAACCCCAAAAAAACCCAGUCAGCAAUAUUUUAAGUUAAAUUUUGAAACAAAUCCAAACGGGUUCCUCCCCAUAAAUCUACCAGUAAAUUGUGCAGAAUCAGAACUGAAGCCAUGCCCUUUCUUAAAGUAUUGAAUUAGAAUAAAUGAGAACAUCUAAAUAUUUUCCAAAUUCAUAUUCCAGUUAUAAUAUUCAAGUUUCUUAGUUUCUCUCUGUUCACAUUCAACAUGAAAUAGUCCCAUUAGUCAGUAGCAAGAGCUGCAACAUUUCUACAGGUACUAAAGGAUGUGAUCAGAGCAGGGAAGAUGGCCAACAAGAUGAUGCCACUCUAGCGGGUGCCCAUCCAAAUCAUAACCCAUGAAUACUGCGGCUUUAUUAUCUUGGACAACAGAAAGCUGAUCUUGUAAUUGGAUGAUCACCCCUGCUUGCAUGCUUUCGAGUAGUUACGUAUGACAAAAGGAGCUACUGGUUUUGUGAUGAUGGGUUUCUGGGUAAACCCUAGAUGCAGAAGCAGCUUUUAAGCAUAGCAGAGCAAGAGUCAAAUGGUUCUGAAAAAAGUUUUAACUCUGAGAUGACUUCUCCCCGCUUCUUUCACUCUACCCUCUCAAUCCUAGAGCAAGUGAGCAGAGUAGGUAAAGCUGUUUCCUCCAGAAAGAUGAUCCAUAUUUUAAACAGCUCUGUGAAUGGGGCACUAAGACUCAGAAGAUCUGGUUUUCAGUUCGCAUUCUGCCUUUAACUGGUCUUGAAAGUUUGGGCAACUCAAUUAUCUCAUGGAGUCAGUAUUUGCAUCUGUACAGUGGGGAUAUGAAUACCUGUCUUACCUACACGGAGCUGUAAGAGCAACAGAAUGUGAGCUGGCAUGAUGUUAUUAUAUGUAUCACCUUGGUUAUUUUAAAACAUGCUUGAUGUAUUAGCCUCUCUGUUUCCUCUUGAGUUUUCCUGCAGAGAUGUCUUUUAAACCAAGCAUCACUCUCCCAAUCAGAGACAGGGCUAACUAGAUAGACAAAUGAGAAAGAGAAGUCGGGGAUGGGAUGGGAGCACAGCCAAUGCAGAAACAGUCAUGUGUAUUCUUCUAGACAGGUGAGCAGAGACAUUUUCAGGAUUUCAGGGGGGCAGGAUGGAGACAUGGGGGAAGCUUCUGGGUCAGUUCUUGAUGGUGUGGCUUCAGUAUGUAGAUGCACACAUUCUCCUCUAAGUCGAAAAGAAUAUACUGGGGGUUUCCAUUCUUUUGGAUUUUCCAGGCUUCUAACGACCUCCACCAUUCCCAGUCCAGAGGAGGUCAUGGGAUGAUAGAAAGUGGGAGCAACCAGGGCA